GGAGCUGUGGCUCAAGUGGUAGAGCAUCAGUCUUGAGUGAAAAGGCUGAAACAGUGCUCAGGCCCUGAGUUCAAGCCUCAGUGCUGCCU
RNAcentral lists this transfer RNA (89 nucleotides) under Dipodomys ordii (Ord's kangaroo rat). It matches the Rfam family "tRNA". From Rfam's summary of the family: Transfer RNA (tRNA) molecules are approximately 80 nucleotides in length. The record is from Rfam by way of RNAcentral. Lineage: Eukaryota; Metazoa; Chordata; Mammalia; Rodentia; Heteromyidae.